GACGAACGCUGGCGGCGUGCUUAACACAUGCAAGUCGAACGGAAAGGCCCUGCUUUUGUGGGGUGCUCGAGUGGCGAACGGGUGAGUAACACGUGAGUAACCUGCCCUUGACUAUGGGAUAACUUCAGGAAACUGGGGCUAAUACCGGAUAGGAGCUCCUGCUGCAUGGUGGGGGUUGGAAAGAUUCGGCGGUUGGGGAUGGACUCGCGGCUUAUCAGCUUGUUGGUGGGGUAGUGGCUUACCAAGGCUUUGACGGGUAGCCGGCCUGAGAGGGUGACCGGCCACAUUGGGAAUGAGAUACGGCCCAGACUCCUACGGGGGGCAGCAGUGGGGAAUAUUGCACAAUGGGCGGAAGCCUUAUGCAGCAACGCCGCGUGCGGGAUGACGGCCUUCGGGUUGUAAACCGCUUUCGCCUGUGCCGAAGCGUGAGUGACGGUAAUGGGUAAAGAAGCACCGGCUAACUACGUG
RNAcentral lists this ribosomal RNA (468 nucleotides) under uncultured bacterium. RNAcentral's name for it is "partial 16S ribosomal RNA". It matches the Rfam family "Bacterial small subunit ribosomal RNA", at positions 28 to 507 of the family's 1533-position model. The record is from RNAcentral.